Molecule: non-coding RNA, 166 nt
Organism: Peromyscus maniculatus bairdii (prairie deer mouse)
Lineage: Eukaryota; Metazoa; Chordata; Mammalia; Rodentia; Cricetidae
Source: RefSeq, a predicted model, not a curated record
GACUUGUAGAUUUUUUUUCUUCUAGUUUUCUGAGACAGGGUUUCUCUUCUCAUAAUGUAGCCAUGGCUGGCCUAGAACUCACUAUGUAGACCAGGCUGGCUUCAAAUACAGAGCUAUCCACCUGCUUCUGCGUCCUGAGUACUGGGAUUAAAGGUGUGUGCCACCA